UCAAAGCCGUCUGGAGAGCCGCCCUACCCCUUAUCGGCGUGGUGGCGCACCGAAGGAGCAAACCGCACGCCAUGUGGGCGCGGCGGUGAAUCUCUCAGGUACCAAGGACAGGGGGAGCGGC
RNAcentral lists this non-coding RNA (121 nucleotides) under Acidovorax sp. Its description in RNAcentral is "Glycine sequence". It matches the Rfam family "Glycine riboswitch aptamer". Rfam says of the family: This family represents the bacterial glycine riboswitch. Glycine riboswitches usually consist of two metabolite-binding aptamers domains with similar structures in tandem. The record is from RNAcentral. Lineage: Bacteria; Pseudomonadati; Pseudomonadota; Betaproteobacteria; Burkholderiales; Comamonadaceae.